UCCUUUCUAGAGAAAGAUAAAUUAAGGCUAAUUCCAUUAACUCUUCUCUACUCUUUUCUUUUGAUAAAAGAGUUUUUAAAAUCAAUGUUAUUUCUAUAAGUUUAAGAGAAGCUUAUGUAUUGAGUGUUUUAUUUUUGAUAUUAAGAGAUUUUAUUAAACUUAGACUUAAGUUUAGAUCAUUUUGGGGGUUUAGCUCAGUUGGCUAGAGCAUCGGCUUUGCAAGCCGAGGGUCAAGGGUUCGAAUCCCUUAACCUCCAUUAGGUUUGUGCCUUAAAUUGUGAUUAAGUAUGUUUUCAGUUAGCUUUGUUAAAAUAAUUAUUGGAAUGUGAAGCAGAGGAAGUUAAAAUUUCUGGGUUAAAGUUGGGGCCUGUUGAUAUUAACAAGAAUGUCUAGAGGUGAAAGUAAGUUACCCUAUAAGAGCCAAAUUAGUUUUACUAAGGGAUAAGGGGUAAACAGGAUUAUAUUUUAUGGCAGCCUAUUUUAU
This 484-nucleotide unclassified non-coding RNA is filed under the name Borreliella andersonii. Its description in RNAcentral is "partial 16S-23S ribosomal RNA intergenic spacer". The stretch from base 184 to 257 matches the Rfam family "tRNA". Lineage: Bacteria; Pseudomonadati; Spirochaetota; Spirochaetia; Spirochaetales; Borreliaceae. The record is from RNAcentral.